UCGAGGGGGGCGCGAGCCAGAACCAUGCUCGCGCAAGCAGUCGUUCGAACGGCGCUGUCUCGUUCUGGCCGGCGCGCCGAGAACACAGCCGAGGCAGCGUGGCUUCUCCGAGUCAGGCAAAGCGGGCCCUGAUGACCUUCGCAACGCGCAGCAUCAAAGGUGUUGCCUGGCUUCCGUGGCGCCCGGGGGUGACAAGGUCUACCGAUGUGACGCCGUGACUGGGAUCAAGGUGGCCGUGUUGCGGUGUUGCAGGCUCCUGUCGUGGCUCAUCACAAACCUGACCACGCAGAUCAUCGAGCACUUUGACUGCAAAGAUCGAAGGGCCUCGUUCGUCGCAAUUGCAUCGAUGACAGUUCAGGAAAAACCAGGAAACUGUAGCCGGGCAGCACAUCAUUCUGGGCGCACCGGCGAGACAUCGGGAGGUGUUCUCCGCCUAGAGGAGCUGACUCAGCCACCGGCUUUUCCAUCGUCACGUUCGAGCAUGCACCGAAUGUCGACUCCGCUCCGGAUGACCGCGCAGAGAAGCCACCGAGUCCACCCAAGGCACAAGGGCGAGGCCAGCCGGUCGUCAUCCACGAAAGCCACAGUGGAGAGCGCAAAUGCUUAUGUGGCCGUGGGGCUCGCGGAGUCGACCGAGGGUUAGGCAGCGAGAGGCCGCCAAGAGGGGCCGCGAGCUAUGGACAAUUAACGCUCAUCAGCGCUUGAACGUCUUGGAGGUGACACGCCGAUACAUCCACCAUGCAUCCGGCGUGUCUCCAGGACGCUGUCGUCACCUUCCACCACGCGGCGAUCUAGAGUGUCGAUAGCGCGAACAAGUUGGGCUCGGUCCUUCCUACCUUUGCUGUGGUGGUGACAUAUUAAGGCAUGAUUUGUGGGUUCGUUGUCUAGCGAUUGUCGUUAGCGGCGCUAUCGAUUUGAUGCGUAUUUAGGCUUAUAUACAUUUUGUUUUAUAUUCGUUCUUCGUAGUUGCCACGUAUUAGUUUUUGUCGUUAAUAUUGCUUCUUUACAUUUAUGCGCAGUAAUUUAUUCGUUUAGAAGAGUUCUGGAAGGUUUGCUUGCUGUAGACUACUUUAGUUUCCGUUGGCGCCCUUCCAAACAACUAUCAGCGAAAGACACACACAUUCUUCAAAACAUCCCUCUGGUGCAGAUGGUUGCCAAUGAAAUGCAGUCUAUAUGUAUGAGAUUACCUUGUUUAGAAUAAUUAGACCCAUACUUUUUUUUUGGUGUGUUAUAUUUCUUAAUGUUUGCGUUAUCACAAUUUAUUCAUUUAAUUUCAGAGUGAUGAUUUGCUUUGAAGGAUCCUGAAACGUUUGAUUCCUAAGAACAACGUCUGUUUUAGUUGGUGACCUUCCGAACAAUCAUUAAAAGCUUGACGAUGUGUUACACAAGAGAAAGAAACCUUGGUGUAGAUUUAUCGGACGCCAAUCAAACGUGGUGACCUCAUGUUUGCGAAAUUAGUGCAGACUUUUGCGAACCGAACUACUUGUACGUUUUUGUUGUGACAGUCUCCUCUUCGACACAAGAGAGUCAAACUGCACUUAGCCGCACCGUACUUUCAGGUGGCACGAAACUUCACGCGGUGAUGAAAUCUGAAAACAUUUUGCUUCCAAUAAAAGCAGGGUAGUCAUAAACAAGGCAGCAGUGGUUUGGCGUAAAUUGACACGAGUACAUUAACUUGUUUCACACUUUUUGGCGAGUGCUUUUCAUGCACCAACAACUUAAGUCUUGGCGCAGCACAAGGAGCGCCUACUCGAAUGUUAUAUAGCCUGUUUAUAGAAUGGUAUCUUUUGCCUAUGUUGUCGUCGAAGCUCAUGUAAUGAGAUUGGAUGUGUUACGUAAAUGGUGUGGUAGUUUCUGGAACCUUUGACGAGUCAUUUAUAUACAGCCGAUCGACUGUAUCCGCAUAUUAAAUUUUUUUCAGUGAUCGACAAGUGUGCUCGACUCUAUCACUGUACUGAGGGUCACUUGUGAGCACAGGUUCGCCCAAUAAACAUUUAAAUUUCUAACUCA
This is a long non-coding RNA of Dermacentor albipictus, 2010 nucleotides long. RefSeq lists it as uncharacterized. The record is from RefSeq and is a predicted model, not a curated record. NCBI's taxonomy places the organism in Eukaryota, Metazoa, Arthropoda, Arachnida, Ixodida, Ixodidae.